ACCACUCAUCAAGCCAUGCUGUGGGUAGGGAAAACCCAGCCCUUCCUCCUGUGUGUCUCUCCCGUGAGUCUCCUAUACUGCCACACGGAGCAUUUCACUUCUGACACGUCUGGUCACCAAAUGUGUGGGUUUUCCCCACAACAACAGGCAAGUUUCUGACGCCAGCUGGGUGUCCUACAAUUUGUCUCAAUUCUGACACUAUCUACCUGAAGACAAUGUCAGAUCCUACAGGUUGCUUCCGUCUUGGCUGUUGUGAAUAACGCUGCAGUGAACACAGAGGUGCAUGUACCUUUGUGCAUUUGUGUUUUCAUGUUCUUUGGCAUGGCUUGACAAGCUGUGCCAUGUCCACACCCAGGAUCCAAACUGGCAAACUGCAGGCCACUGAAGCGGAACAUGUGAACUAAACUGCUGGGCCACCAGGCCAGCCCCUGCAUUUCCCUGAAGACUCCAGGUCUUGUUCUGCACUGGCCCCACCGCUGCCCUGAGGACCAGCAGAUGCCGAGACCUGAAUUCAAAGCCAGCCCCUCUGCCUGACACAUCUGUGGCUGCCUUUGGAGAACAGCUCAUCGUGAGCUUGCAAAGUGAUGCAGCCUACUUAGGGAGCACUCUGCAGAAUUGCUGACACUGAGCAGGGGCUUUGGUGGACACUGGCUCCCCACAACCCAGCCCGCCAGGUCAGACGUGUGAAAAGGGCCAUUCAGGUUCAUGAAAGGCUUGUUGACAUUAACAGUGUAGGCGAUCACUUCAGCAACAUCUGACGGUGAAAAUAACCUAUCUUCAGUCAGAGGCUGGUCCUUCUGCCCAGAAUGCCUUCUGCCCAGAAUGCCUUCUGCCCAUCCCCAGCAUCAGGCUGAGCGGGGCUGCAGGGCCCACGCCCGUCUCAGAUCUGAGCUCAGAGAGGCUCAGCUCUGAAUCCUGUGUGACCUCAGGCUGGUUACUUCACCCCUCUCAUUUUCCAUUUUCUUUCUCUCUUCUUUUUUACUUUAACUUUCAUUUUCAAUAAAAUUAAUAACAGGUACACAUUUUUAAAGGACAAAUAGAAUUACAAGGCUUAUAAUGAAGAAUGCCAGUCCCCUCCCUCCUCUCUGCCCCACCCUGGGUCCUCCCCUCAAAGGCAGCCAUUUGCACUCUUCUAGAUGUUUCUUCUGGUUCUCACCUUAUUCUGUAUCAGUGACAAGCUGUUACUGACAAUUACUGAUUUUUCACUUUUUAGAUUCGAUUCAAUCACUGCCUGUGGCGGAAAGACAAGGAUUUAGCUGUCAGACCCUCACACCGCGACACGGGAACAGUGGCUCCCCUGCCCUGUCUGCCCAGCAUGGCCAGGCCCCCUUGGUCUCUCUCCCCUGUAGCAGGGCUGUCUCCUUGUGCUACCAAAGCUCUUAAUGUCAGAUUGGUGCACCGUGCACAGUAAGCCGAUCAUGGAGUCAGGGUCCUUGGGGAUGGAGAGAGGGUUAUUCAAACUGGCCAGAACGAGAAGGCAGGAGGAUAGGUUCUCUCAAAUCCGCCUUAAUAAAAGAAGAAAGCAGGGGCUUUUUAUAGGGCCAUGGGGCUUAGGAGGAAGUGUUCUGAAGAAACAAAGGGGAAAUCCAUGUUUCUUUCACUCCAGACAAGCCCCUGGGCAGUUGGACUUCUGGCCCUCCGUGGCAGCUGGGGGCAGGUUAUCUGGUCAUCUAACUUCCUUAAAGGCCUUCUGCGCCCUCUGCAAAACAUGCUCAUAAAUCCUUGUGGCCCUCGAGAUCCCCCUCAGGUCAAACAAGAAAACAGCAAAUUGACAAAAUUAACUUCUUUUCAUGUGCGUCUGUGUUGGGGACAAGAUUGAAGGGUAAUCCUGUUCUUAUUGAAUAUUUACAGUGACCCUCAGGUACCCACUUCACAGAAGGGUGAAGUAACUUGCCUGAGGUCACACAGGAUGAAACGACCUGCUGGAUCCUUGGAGCACUUUACACAGUGCUUGGCACACAGCAGGUGCUCAAUAAAUGCAACCAUUCAGAUAUAUAAAUAUCCUCUGAAUGGCUGUAGUUUUUUGUUUUGUUUUGUUUUGGGGAGGAAGAUUGGCCCUGAGCUAACAUCUGUGGCAAUCUUCCUCUAUCUUGUAUGUGGGAUGCUGCCACAGCAUGGCUUGAUGAGCAGUGUGUAGGUCUGUGCCCGGGAUCUGAACCCACAAACCCUGUGUUGCCAAAGCAGAGUGUGCAAACUUCACCAGCACACCAGUGGGCCGACCCCUCAAGUUUAUUUUAAAAAUUAUAUUAUGAGUGGUUUCAAGCAUACACAAAAGUAGAGAAAAUAAACAGUCUGAUGAACCCACAGGGAUCCACCACCAGCUACAGGUACAUAACCCACACGCCCACGGGCAACCGCUUUAUUUAUAUUACAGUGUUUCCUUCCACAUUUCUUUCUAGCCUAAGUAAAAAUGUAUCUAUUUGUAUCUCUCUAUCUCUUUUUUGAUAGAUGAUGACAUAAUAAAUACAAAGAUCAAGCAUUUUUAAGUAAACUUUAAAAAAAUACCAAUUAUAGGGCCGGCCCAGUGGCAUAGAGGUUAAGUUCAUGGACUCUGCUUUGGCGGCCCAGGGUUCACAGGCUCGGAUCCUGGGCACAGACCUACACACUGCCCAUCAAGCCAUGUUGUGGGGCAUCCCACAUAGAAAAUAGAGGAAGGUUGGCACAGGUGUUCACUCAGGGCCAAUCUUCCUCACCAAAAAAACCCACAAGAAACAAAACCGACUACAAAUGUAGCACAAGUUUAUUUCGGAAAAUCCAAAACAGCCACACCCACCCGUAAUCUCACCACGCAGCUCUCUGCAGGGUCCGCGUUGCAGGAACAUGUGGAAACUGACAGAGAUGUAGAUAUUUCCCUACUCCCUUUUCAGUAACACGUUUAUUGAGAUGUAAUUCUCAUAGCCUAAAAUUCACCCAUCUAGAGUGGACAAUUCAGUGAUUUUUAGUAUAUUCACACAGUUAUACAACUAUCACCACCGUCUAAUUUUAGAGUGUUUUCAACAUCUGGGCAAGAAACCUGUGCCCAGGAGCCGUCACUCUCCCUUCUCUGACCCCAGUCUCUGUCCUCAGCAACCACUAAUGUGCUUUCUCUCUCUUUGGAUUUGCCAUUCUGGGCAUUUCACCUGAAUGGGAUAUAGAGUACGUGGCCUUUUGGGCUGGCUUCUCUCACUCAGCAUCAUGUUUUCAAGGUUUGUCCACACUGUAAUGUGUAUCAGUAUUUCACUCCUCUUUAUGGCCAAAUAAUAUUCCAUUGUAUUUAUAUAUUGUUUUUAACCGGGUUUUAAAAAUGACAACUUGAAAAAAAGUGUAUUAGGAAGGCAACACACACAUCAUCGCAGGCAGUCCUCUCUGAAGUGUGAGCCCUGCCAGGAGCUUCGAGAACACCGCAGGGCAUGACUUUGCCGUUCAUUCAACAAACACCCACUGAGCACCAGCUGGACCCUGCAGACCCAGAGAUGGAGCAGCCCGGGUGGAGGCCUUGCCUGGGUCUGUCCAGCAGGAGAGCCCCGCCUGAAUGCAAACACCUGAGAUCAAUGCAGAUGCCCUGAGCAGAGCUGUUAUGAAUGGGGACGCAAACCUCAGUGAUGUCAGCUGUACCUGUGACUUCAUCACCAACAGAAAUCCAGAUAUUUUCAAAUCACAUUUCGACUGAAGCAGAAAUCUCUAGAUAUCGCUUACACUCACUGCUACUUCAAAAUGAUGGAUUUCAGACUUGCAGCUUUGGUCUUGUUAUUUAAUGUGUUAAAAAGUAAAACACACUACUACAUUACAC
This 3769-nucleotide long non-coding RNA is filed under the name Equus caballus (horse). RNAcentral's name for it is "lncRNA (ENSECAG00000048927.1)". The record is from RNAcentral. Lineage: Eukaryota; Metazoa; Chordata; Mammalia; Perissodactyla; Equidae.